UACGUAGGGUGCAAGCGUUAAUCGGAAUUACUGGGCGUAAAGCGUGCGCAGGCGGUUUUGUAAGUCUGUCGUGAAAGCCCCGGGCUUAACCUGGGAAUUGCGAUGGAGACUGCAAGGCUUGAAUCUGGCAGAGGGGGGGUAGAAUUCCACGUGUAGCAGUGAAAUGCGUAGAGAUGUGGAGGAACACCGAUGGCGAAGGCAGCCCCCUGGGUCAAGAUUGACGCUCAUGCACGAAAGCGUGGGGAGCAAACAGG
RNAcentral lists this ribosomal RNA (254 nucleotides) under uncultured bacterium. RNAcentral describes it as "partial 16S ribosomal RNA". It matches the Rfam family "Bacterial small subunit ribosomal RNA", at positions 524 to 776 of the family's 1533-position model. The record is from RNAcentral.